UAGGGAAUCUUCCACAAUGGGCGAAAGCCUGAUGGAGCAACGCCGCGUGUGUGAUGAAGGCUUUCGGGUUGUAAAGCACUGUUGUAUGGGAAGAACAGCUAGAAUAGGAAAUGAUUUUAGUUUGACGGUACCAUACCAGAAAGGGACGGCUAAAUACGUGCCAG
This 164-nucleotide ribosomal RNA is filed under the name uncultured bacterium. Its description in RNAcentral is "partial 16S ribosomal RNA". It matches the Rfam family "Bacterial small subunit ribosomal RNA", at positions 355 to 511 of the family's 1533-position model. The record is from RNAcentral.